This 497-nucleotide ribosomal RNA is filed under the name uncultured bacterium. RNAcentral describes it as "partial 16S ribosomal RNA". It matches the Rfam family "Bacterial small subunit ribosomal RNA", at positions 28 to 507 of the family's 1533-position model. The record is from RNAcentral.
GACGAACGCUGGCGGCGUGCCUAAUACAUGCAAGUAGAACGCUGAAGAGAGGAGCUUGCUCUUCUUGGAUGAGUUGCGAACGGGUGAGUAACGCGUAGGUAACCUGCCUUGUAGCGGGGGAUAACUAUUGGAAACGAUAGCUAAUACCGCAUAACAAUGGAUGACACAUGUCAUUUAUUUGAAAGGGGCAAUUGCUCCACUACAAGAUGGACCUGCGUUGUAUUAGCUAGUAGGUGAGGUAAUGGCUCACCUAGGCGACGAUACAUAGCCGACCUGAGAGGGUGAUCGGCCACACUGGGACUGAGACACGGCCCAGACUCCUACGGGAGGCAGCAGUAGGGAAUCUUCGGCAAUGGGGGCAACCCUGAGCGAGCAACGCCGCGUGAGUGAAGAAGGUUUUCGGAUCGUAAAGCUCUGUUGUAAGUCAAGAACGGGUGUGAGAGUGGAAAGUUCACACUGUGACGGUAGCUGACCAGAAAGGGACGGCUAACUACGUG